UUUCCGUAGGUGAACCUGCGGAAGGAUCAUUACAAGUCGGGUUGGGUGGGGUUUGGUGGGUGGUUUGGUGGUGGUGGUUGUAUGGGUUGUAUGGGUUGUAUGGUCGUGAGGUUGUACAAUCUGUAUAAACACAUCCCCCUUUCCCCCUCUCCCACCCACAUAUGUUCGGGGCUGCAAGGCUACCGCAACACAUUCACGCUUGUUUUGUUUGUCAGAGUAGGAUACAACACAAUAUUAGACAACUUUUAACAAUGGAUCUCUUGGCUCUU
RNAcentral lists this unclassified non-coding RNA (269 nucleotides) under plant metagenome. Its description in RNAcentral is "partial contains small subunit ribosomal RNA, internal transcribed spacer 1, and 5.8S ribosomal RNA". The record is from RNAcentral.